This 253-nucleotide ribosomal RNA is filed under the name uncultured bacterium. RNAcentral's name for it is "partial 16S ribosomal RNA". It matches the Rfam family "Bacterial small subunit ribosomal RNA", at positions 524 to 776 of the family's 1533-position model. The record is from RNAcentral.
UACGGAGGGUGCGAGCGUUGUCCGGAAUCAUUGGGCGUAAAGGGCGCGUAGGUGGCCCGCUCAGCGUGCGGUGAAAGCUCGGGGCUCAACCCCGAGUCGGCCGUGCGAACUGGUGGGCUGGAGCACUGUAGAGGCAGGCGGAAUUCCGGGUGUAGCGGUGGAAUGCGUAGAGAUCCGGAAGAACACCGGUGGCGAAGGCGGGUCUCUGGGCCGAUACUGACGCUGAGGAGCGAAAGCGUGGGGAGCGAACAGG